CCUACGGGUGGCAGCAGUCGAGAAUCAUUCACAAUGGGGGAAACCCUGAUGGUGCGACGCCGCGUGGGGGAAUGAAGGUCUUCGGAUUGUAAACCCCUGUCAUGUGGGAGCAAAUUAAAAAGAUAGUACCACAAGAGGAAGAGACGGCUAACUCUGUGCCAGCAGCCGCGGUAAUACAGAGGUCUCAAGCGUUGUUCGGAAUCACUGGGCGUAAAGCGUGCGUAGGCUGUUUCGUAAGUCGUGUGUGAAAGGCGCGGGCUCAACCCGCGGACGGCAGAUGAUACUGCGAGACUAGAGUAAGGGAGGGGGAACCGGAAUUCGCGGUGUAGCAGUGAAAUGCGUAGAUAUCGAGAGGAACACUCGUGGCGAAGGCGGGUUCCUGGACAUUAACUGACGCUGAGGCACGAAGGCCAGGGGAGCGAAAGGGAUUAGAUACCCGAGUAGUC
This 446-nucleotide ribosomal RNA is filed under the name uncultured bacterium. Its description in RNAcentral is "partial 16S ribosomal RNA". It matches the Rfam family "Bacterial small subunit ribosomal RNA", at positions 338 to 795 of the family's 1533-position model. The record is from RNAcentral.